Molecule: ribosomal RNA, 963 nt
Filed under: Medauromorpha foedata
Lineage: Eukaryota; Metazoa; Arthropoda; Insecta; Phasmatodea; Phasmatidae
Description: SSU rRNA
Rfam family: Eukaryotic small subunit ribosomal RNA
Source: RNAcentral
CAGAAGCAGCAGGCGCGCAAAUUACCCACUCCCGGCACGGGGAGGUAGUGACGAAAAAUAACGAUACGGGACUCAUCCGAGGCCCCGUAAUCGGAAUGAGUACACUUUAAACCCUUUAACGAGUAUCCAUUGGAGGGCAAGUCUGGUGCCAGCAGCCGCGGUAAUUCCAGCUCCAAUAGCGUAUAUUAAAGUUGUUGCGGUUAAAAAGCUCGUAGUUGGACUUGUGUCCCACGCUGUCGGUUCACCGUUCGUCGGUGUUUAACUGGCAUGCCCGUGUGGACGUCCUGCCGGUGGAUGCGGUCGGCCGCGGGCCUCUGGUCUGCGCGUCGGCGGUCCGAUUCAAUCCUACCGCGGUGCUCUUCACCGAGUGUCGAGGUGGGCCGGCACGUUUACUUUGAACAAAUUAGAGUGCUCAAAGCAGGCAGUUGUUCGCCUGAAUAUUGUGUGCAUGGAAUAAUGGAAUAGGACCUCGGUUCUAUUUUGUUGGUUUUCGGAACUUGAGGUAAUGAUUAAUAGGGACAGACGGGGGCAUUCGUAUUGCGACGUUAGAGGUGAAAUUCUUGGAUCGUCGCAAGACGAACCUAAGCGAAAGCAUUUGCCAUGAGUGUUUUCACUAAUCAAGAACGAAAGUUAGAGGUUCGAAGGCGAUCAGAUACCGCCCUAGUUCUAACCAUAAACGAUGCCAGCUAGCGAUCCGCCGAAGUUCCUCCGAUGACUCGGCGGGCAGCUUCCGGGAAACCAAAGCUUUUGGGUUCCGGGGGAAGUAUGGUUGCAAAGCUGAAACUUAAAGGAAUUGACGGAAGGGCACCACCAGGAGUGGAGCCUGCGGCUUAAUUUGACUCAACACGGGAAACCUUCACCAGGCCCGGACACCGGAAGGAUUGACAGAUUGAGAGCUCUUUCUUGAUUCGGUGGGUGGUGGUGCAUGGCCGUUCUUAGUUGGUGGAGCGAUUUGUCUGGUUA